GGUGAACGCUGGCGGUAGGCCUAACACAUGCAAGUCGAACGGCAGCACAGGAGAGCUUGCUCCCUGGGUGGCGAGUGGCGGACGGGUGAGGAAUACAUCGGAAUCUACUCUGUCGUGGGGGAUAACGUAGGGAAACUUACGCUAAUACCGCAUACGACCUACGGGUGAAAGCAGGGGACCUUCGGGCCGUGCGCGAUCGAAUGAGCCGAGGUCGGAUUAGCUAGUUGGCGGGGUAAAGGCCCACCAAGGCGACGAUCCGUAGCUGGUCUGAGAGGAAGAUCGGCCACACUGGAAGUGAGGCACGGUCCAGACUCCUAGGGGAGGCAGCAGUGGGGAAUAUUGGACAAUGGGCGCAAGCCUGAUCCAGCCAUACCGCGUGGGUGAAGAAGGCCUUCGGGUUGUAAAGCCCUUUUGUUGGGAAAGAAAUCCAGCUGGCUAAUACCCGGUUGGGAUGACGGUACCCAAAGAAUAAGCACCGGCUAACUUCGUGCCAGCCGCCGCCGUAA
RNAcentral lists this ribosomal RNA (506 nucleotides) under uncultured bacterium. RNAcentral's name for it is "partial 16S ribosomal RNA". It matches the Rfam family "Bacterial small subunit ribosomal RNA", at positions 28 to 523 of the family's 1533-position model. The record is from RNAcentral.